UAGUCCUAGCCGUAAACGAUGGAUACUAGACCUUACUACUAGUAGGGUCGUAGCUAACGCGUUAAGUAUCCCGCCUGGGUAGUACGGUCGCAAGUCUGAAACUCAAAGGAAUUGACGGGGACCCGCACAAGCAGUGGAGCAUGUGGUUUAAUUCGAUGCAACGCGAAAACCUUACCUGGGCUUGAACUGUAGGCAUUAGCAACCUGAAAGGGAUUGUGAUUCGUCUUUGACGAAACCUAUAGAGGUGCUGCAUGGCUGUCGGCAGCUCGUGUCGUGAGAUGUUGGGUUAAGUCCCGCAACGAGCGAAACCCUUGUUCUUAGUUGUCAGCGAGUAAUGUCGGAUACUUUAAGAAGACUGCCGGUGAUAAAUCGGAGGAAGGUGGGGAUGACGUCAAGUCAGCAUGGCCUUUAUGUCCAGGGCUACACACGUGCUACAAUGGGUGGUACAACGGGAAGCUAAACCGCGAGGUGGCGCAAAUCCUUAAAACCAUUCUUAGUUCGGAUUGCAGGCUGC
Molecule: ribosomal RNA, 514 nt
Filed under: uncultured bacterium
Lineage: Bacteria
Description: bacterial SSU rRNA
Rfam family: Bacterial small subunit ribosomal RNA
Source: RNAcentral